UAAAGCAAAUGGCGGAUGCCUUGGUAGUAAGAGCCGAAGAAGGACGCACAUGACUGCGAUAAGCGUCGGGGAGUUGUCACGAAGCGGUGAUCCGGCGGUGUCCGAAUGGGGAAACCCACCACGCUCAGCGUGGGGCUGCGUUCUGAAUUCAUAGGAGCGUAUGCGGGAACCCGGGGAACUGAAACAUCUAAGUACCCGGAGGAAAAUAAAUACAAUUGAGAUUCCGUUAGUAAGCGGUGAGCGAAAGCGGAACAGCCUAAACUUGGGCCGUAAGGCCUAGGGGUUGCAAGGCGCACAAGGGAGUGUUAGCGGUAGUUGAACACCCUGGAAUGGGUGGCCAGAGAAGGUGAAAGCCCCGUAAAUUAAACCAAUGACACCUCGAGCGAAUACCUUAAGUACCACGAAAGACGAAGCUUUUGUGGGAAUCCGGGGGGACCACCCUCCAAGGCUAAAUACUCUUAUUGACCGAUAGUGAACAAGUACCGUGAGGGAAAGGUGAAAAGCAGGGUUAGUGACCCGAUGAAAUAGAACCUGAAACCGUUUGCUAACAAACAGUCAGAGCUUGUGCGGAGCACAAAGGAUAAGAAAUUUAGGAUAAGAGGAACCGAGGAUACGAGUGAUGAGUCAAAAAAAGACUAGUCACUCUUAUCUUCUUAAUCUUCGUUCCUACUCUUCGUAUCUUGCGCGCUUCGCGCGAGUAAUGGCGUGCCUAUUGAAGAAUGAACCAGCGAGUAGUCUUCAUAUGCGAGUCUAAGUUCGCUAAGACGGACGGAGGCGUAGCGAAAGCGAGUCCAAAUAGGGCGUAAAUAAGCAUAUGGCGGCUGACCCGAAACCAGGUGAGCUAAUCAUGAGCAGGGUGAACCUCGAUGAAAAUCGAGGGGAGGCCCGCACCCGUCGUCGCUGCAAGGACGUGGGAUGACUUGUGAUUAGAGGUAAUAUGCCAAUCGAACCUGGAGAUAACUGGUUCUCCCCGAAAGAUAUAUGGGUAUCGCGUCCAUCAAUAACCAAAUGGGGGUAGAGCUACUGGAUGGGUGUUGCUUCGCAAGGAGUGGCAUCCAACCAAACUCCGAAUACCGUUUGGAAUCGGAUGGGCAGUCAGUCCUACACGGCUAAGCGCGUACGGACUAAAGGGAAACAACCCAGACUCUCGUCUAAGGUCUCUAAGUAUCGUUUAAGUGUUGAAGGUAGUGGUAUUCCUCAGACAGCCAGGAGGUUGGCUCAGAAGCAGCCAUCCUUUAAAGAAAGCGUAACAGCUCACUGGUCGACUGGGAUUCUGCGCCGAAAAUUUAUCGAGGCUCAAAUCGAUCACCGAAGACAGAGGUGCUCAUGCUUUGCAUGAGCGCGGUAGGGGAGCGUUGAGAGGGCGGUGAAGUUCUACCGUGAGGUGGGGUGGAGCGCUCUCAAGUGAGAAUGCUGGUAUGAGUAACCAACAGCAAUGUGAGAAUCAUUGCCACCGAAUACCCAAGGUUUCCCACGCACCGUUUUUCGGCGUGGGGUAAGUCGGCACCUAAGGUGAGGCCACAAAGGGCGUAGCCGAUGGACGACCGGUUUAUAUUCCGGUACAGGAGUGAAAUCGUUACGAGUUGGGGAUGGACAAAGAUGGAGGGCUCAGAGUUUGCCUGACCGCAGACUUCUAAACUAUUAAGCAGUUUGGGUAGGAAAACCCUUCCAAACGUUUAACUGAGUAGCGACGGGAAGCCGGGCUGCAAAGCUUGGCAAGUGAAGACCUUUCAACUUUCAAGAAAAUAUCCGCAACCAGAGUUCAUUUCUGCCGUACCGCAAUCCGAAACAGGUGGGUUGGUCGAGUAGACCAAGGUGGUCGGGAGAAGGCGGCUCAAGGAACUCGGCAAAAAAGCUGGGCGUAAGUUCGCAAGAUGCCCUGCCAUGUUCAGUUACAUGAACGUGGCCUCAGCAAAAGAUUAUUCAGCGACUGUUUAACUAAAACACCGGCCUCUGCAAAACCGAAAGGUACAGUAUAGGGGCUGACGCCUGCCCACUGUCAGAAGGUUAAGGGGAUGCCUGACUCCGCAAGGAGAGGGGUUGAACCGAAGCCCUGAUGAAGGGCGGCUUUAACUAUAAGAGUCCUAUGGUGGAGUUCCGACCCGCACGAAAGGCGUAACGACUGAAUAACUGUCUCGAGCCGUCCCCCGGUGAAAUUGAAAUGGCUGUGAAGAUGCGGCCUAGAUGUACUAGGACAAAAAGACCCCGUGGAGCUUUACUGCAACUCGGCACUGUAUCGUUUAUUUUUCUUGUUUAGCGUAGGAGGGAGCCGAAAGGCGAGCAUGAAACACCUCCCGGAAGAGUAGGCGAGACUUACCUACAGACCCUGAAUACGGGUUUGGGGACCGUGCUUGGUGGGCAGCUUUACUGGGAUGGUAUCCUGCAAAAGAGUAACGCAGGAGUUCAAGGGUUGGCUCAGUACAGGCUGAUCGCAUCCACGAGUCCAUAUCUACGAUGCGGUUUGGCACCUCGAUGUCGGCUAUGCGUAUAGAUUGGUUGCGUCCUAUCCUGGGGGCGGAGAAGCUCCCAAGGGUCCGGCUGUUCGCCGGUUAAAAGGGCACGCGAGCUGGGUCAGAACGGCGUAAGCCAGUUCGGCCUCUAUCCAGUACAUCCGUUCGAUUCUUGAGGGGAGCUGAUGGCAGUACGAGAGGACCCCGUUGGAGCGACCCCUGGUGUGCCGGUUGUCCUGUCAAGGGCAGCGCCGGGUAGCUAUGUCGCUAAGGGAUAAUCGCUGAAAGCAUCUAAGCGAGAAGCCCACCCCAAGAUUAGGAAUCGUUUCCGUCGCAAGGCGGAUGAAGACCCGUUGUAGACUACGACGUUCCCGCAAGGGAUCCCAAGCGCAAGCGAGGGAAAUCGGCUGGCGGUGUAAGGCCCGUAAGGGUUUUAGCCUACCAGUGCGAAUCGGUCGA
Molecule: ribosomal RNA, 2909 nt
Filed under: Microgenomates group bacterium GW2011_GWA2_44_7
Lineage: Bacteria
Description: 23S ribosomal RNA
Rfam family: Bacterial large subunit ribosomal RNA
Source: RNAcentral